Molecule: long non-coding RNA, 1111 nt
Organism: Medicago truncatula (barrel medic)
Lineage: Eukaryota; Viridiplantae; Streptophyta; Magnoliopsida; Fabales; Fabaceae
Exons: 2
Source: RefSeq, a predicted model, not a curated record
UCAAUUUUUUUCCCUUUCUCUCUCUCUCUCUCCGCCCAACAAAUACACGGUCAUUCACAACACAAACAAUCAACAGCAACAAAGCUGCUUCUUCUUCAAUCUCUCUCUCUCCCUCUCUCCCUCUCCCUCUCUCUCUCCGAUUCGAAAUAAAUAUGCAGAUCUCAUGCACCUUCUUCCGCUCUGCCUUUCCUUCGCCGGAUCUUUGCCGUCACCGGAGCUUCUGCUUCAUUGCCAUAGCUUCAGCACAAUGAGUUAUCUUUGUGCUUAUCUAUCACCGUAAUUUCCUUGAUUAAUUAGGUAAUAAUGAAUGCAUUGAAUACUGUGAAAAGAGUUGAACAAACUCAUACAUACAUGAUCAAUACUAACUUAAGUAUGCCUACAAAAACACAAAUAAAAUCUUGGACUUUAAUCACUACGAUUUAUAGCCCCUAACCUCUAACCAAAGUUCAAUGGCCAUUCAAGUGAAUAAAGAGGGUCUUAUCCAAUUGUCUAAGACUUUCUCCACUAAUGUUUAGUUCUUUGAGAGAUUCACCUCCAGAAUUAUCUUCUGAAAUCUUAACUCCACCUGAAUUUGAAUUAAACACGUUUGAGGGGUUUCGAUCUUUAUAAAUUGCAUUCAUGGGUGGGAGGGUUAACCGAUAGCAGAAUUCGGUUUGCUCUAGCUAACUGGAGAGAAGCGAGGCUUGGUAUUCAGAUUGUGUCCAAAUUCUGAAGUUUAAUUUUCUGAUGUUACUUAUGUGAACAAUCUUGUGGAACGGACAAUGCCUGAUUUGAAAAGGGUAGGUGUUGGUGAGAAAAUGAAGGGAUUUGUGUAUACUUUGCAGGGAAUUUUUGACAAUGAAGGUGCAUUUAAGAACAUAAAAACGUUGAAGGAGUUUGAUGAUAGAAACUCAAUGACUAAUAUUCUGUGGUGGAUUUGUAGUAGAGGUUGAAAUGUUGAGACAGUGAAUGACUGUAUAGUUUAUGAUUCUAUUAUGGCUUUCUUUUUAUGUAUUGUUUCUUGCAAUUCUAAUUCGUAUUUUGGUUAUGAAAUUGCAACUAGUUAUUUGUGGAACUAAGUCUAUUGCUUGUGUGUUCUGGAUUAGAAUUAUGAUGCUAACAUUGUUUUGAA